Molecule: ribosomal RNA, 169 nt
Filed under: uncultured bacterium
Lineage: Bacteria
Description: partial 16S ribosomal RNA
Rfam family: Bacterial small subunit ribosomal RNA
Source: RNAcentral
CCUACGGGAGGCAGCAGUAGGGAAUAUUGGACAAUGGGCGAAAGCCUGAUCCAGCCAUGCCGCGUGAGUGAUGAAGGCCUUAGGGUUGUAAAGCUCUUUCGUCAGGGACGAUAAUGACGGUACCUGAAGAAGAAGCCCCGGCUAACUUCGUGCCAGCAGCCGCGGUAAU